RNAcentral lists this unclassified non-coding RNA (12727 nucleotides) under Diabrotica virgifera virgifera (western corn rootworm). Its description in RNAcentral is "uncharacterized LOC126878565". The record is from RNAcentral. Lineage: Eukaryota; Metazoa; Arthropoda; Insecta; Coleoptera; Chrysomelidae.
ACUAAAGACUGAAGAAUAUCGCGGACAUCGGUGAGCAGUACAUGUACAUGUACAUUCUCAAAUCUCCAGUCUUGUGAGAACCUUCUUCGUAUCUAGUUCGCUAAUUUCGCUCUUCCUGAUGAAGUUUAUGACAGGUUGGUUACAAUGAAAUAAUGUGAACGUGGUUUCGCGAGUUGGACGUGAUAUGGAGACUUUUAAUUGUAUGCCUAUUAUCACCAAAUCUAAACCGAGGCCUAACUUAACGGGGCAUUUUUAUCAUAAUGUGCCGAGGAAUAUGCGAACAGUUGGGAGCGAAUAUACUGUAGAAAACUCGACAGGUAUACGAACGAUAUCAUCGCGUAAUCAUGGCAAAUAUCCCUGGCAAGAACGAUCUCCACCGACAUCAGUUGCCUGUAUUGGAGUCGAACAAAAGACUCCAAAGGGUAAAUUAUGUUCCAUCACGUUAGCCAUAGCUUCCUUUGUAGUUCUAGUAGCUGUUCUAGUAAUUGCUGGUCUCGCAUUAUACAUGGGGGUGUUACACACGAAUACUCCAAAUGCACUUCUUACAUUUAGCUGUAGUGCAAAAAUCUUGAAAGGAGAUAGGUUUAUAGGAUCUUUCCAGGACAAGGCACGUAGAUAUAAAAGAAACUUUGAAACCAUGUAUCAAAGGAGUAUAUUAGGCCAAGCGUUUAUAUCUUGUAUUAUAGAAAAAUUUGGAAAUGACACAUUAACAAUAUAUUUUAAACUAACGUUCAAUCGCAUGAAAUUGUCAAGGAAUGUCUCAAAUAUUGAGAAAGCCAUUAAGGAUAUCCUCAUAACAGAUGCAAUUUCUAGACAUUCUGUAUUCAAAAAUAUUCGAUUUGAUCCAAAAUAUAUAACCGUAAGACAAGUAUUGAGUAACGACAUCAUUCAUCAAAUAAAUCUAAAUCCUUCUCUUAUUACACCAUCUGAUCAUAUGAUCAAAGGAACUGUUCCUGCAAAAACUAACGUAGUUUUAAGGUCUUAUACUAAUAAGACUUCAGCAACAAUUGCAGUUUCUACUAAUAAACCAGCUGAACCAGUAAUGAAAUCAGUACCUGAACAUACAGAUCAAAUUAAAGAACACCACGUGCCUUUGAUCCAAGGUUCUUUUAAAAUAAGUAAAACUGAUGCUGAUAUUACCGAGAAAAAGAUUGAGCAAUCUACUGUUAAAUUCAAACCUGAAAAACCUACACAAGCUUUUAGCAAAAAAUCCACUUUUAAAGAAUCAUCUAUUACUAGUGCGUUGUAUAAAAUGGGAGCUGUAGAAAAAGUUACCAAGCAAUCUGCACUGCCUAUAGAAAAUACAAAUUCAGUAUCAUCGACAACUACAAGUACAAUUAUACCGCCCACAACAACCGUAACAACUAAUAAAAUAAUGUAUCUUCCUGAAUCGUCUGCUAAACCUGUAUUCUUGUUAAAUCCCUUUGACGAUGCUCCUUGGAUUCCAAUUCUACCAAACAUGUCACCUUUUACAGAUAAACCUACUAAUUAUAAACACAAUGAAUUUCUAAACAAUCCAUAUUAUUUAAGGUCAACUCUAACACCUUUAGCUGAGCAAAAUCAACCUGUUUACACUAGUUUUACCAACUUGGGAUUGUCAGUAAACUUUAAUGAUGCAGAGAGAUUGGGAUCGACAAGUUUAAAAAGUCAUCCUAUUCCAGUAAACAAAAUACCACAAAUUGAAGAUUCGACUAAUCCAACGAAACAAGACAUUUUUUCUAACUUCAAUAAUGAAAAAUUUAGUCAAACGUCGUAUGUAAGUUAUACAGACUCAUCUCCGCUAAAACAAGUCACUCAUAGCACUAAAAAUGAGGAAGUUAGCGAAUUUCCUAUAAUGACAGCUAAACCAAACUCCAUGGAAUUUGUUAUAAUCGAAACUCUUCAGAAUGUUCCCAACAAAAAGGAAGACUCGGAAGAUAAGAAACAACAAUUAAUUAAAAAUAUAUCUUCUAUAUUUCGUACCUUAGCAUCUUCACCAGAUGCCUCUAGAUUAAAUUUUUCUUCCAUACAGACUACUUCUAUUAACCCUAAAGAAGAAGAACAUUUUUCGGGUCAAGGACAAGUAGAAGUUGUAGUGGAUGAUGUUGAUGAUUUAGUGCUGCACACGACAAAAAAUUCACUGAUAACUUUACUUCCUGUUAAGUCUAAUUCAGGUAUUGGGAGACCAAUACGAAAAAGACCAUUUCAAUCUGCAGAGGACAGAAUGGCCGCGGAAAACAGGAGUUUUCCUAACCAGCCCCCACAAGUAAAUUUUAAGCCAGUAAUAAAUAACAAGGAUGUGAAACGAGCUAAUGAUGAUUUUAAAAUAAUGGGCACAUUAAAUUUUGCUACUGAAGAUUCUCUAGAAAAUAAUAAUUACUCUGACAUUGUAAGGUAUCCUAAAAUGGAAGUAGAAGUGCCCUUAGAAAAGUUUCAAUCUGAUUCAAUUGUUUAUGGUAAAAACGAGACUGAAUUCAAUAAAACUCAUGGUUAUAAUACUCUAACAGCAGAAGAAAUUAGGAAAUUAUCAGAGAUUAGCAAAAUUACAGAUAAUUCAAGUUCUGUAAAUAAAGCACCUGUAAUUUCUAACAAAGGCAUAUUUUCAAGUUACACCAAUCUCAACGGACUUAAAAUACUAACUAAACCUCACAUGAAGAUCAAUUUAUCCCCCAUCGACAAAACUGGAAAAGGAAAUGUCUCAGGUCGUCUAUAAAAGAAUCCAGUCUUCUCAUAACAUUGGGACUUCUUCGAACCGCUACGCGUGUCAUAUCCAGUUGUGCAGUAACAGCUUGCGGACCAAGUAUAUAGUAUAUUUUAGAUGAAUGCAGCUUUUUCUGGUCUUGUAUGCAUUAAAAUUAGACACUUGAACACUGACUAUACUUGUAGGUAUUGCGUUGACCCGGCGAGUCAGCAAUCUUAAACUUUUGGCCAAGAAAGUCAAUAGCGCCCAAUCUAAGAGGAGGAAUGGAACUAGAGAGAGAUAGAGAGAGAACUAUACUUGUAUAUAAGAUGGAAGGCAACCAUAAAUAUGUAUUUCUGAUUAUUUGAUAGUCAUCAGUAUGGUACAGCCAAGUUAGAAAAGGAGAACAUUAACUAUGUGUAUAUGUUACAGUUCAAGUUGAUUCUCAGUUAGAGUUGACUCCAACUAGUUGGAGUCAACUCCAACUGAAACGAGCAGUAAAAGUUGAUUUUAAAAAUUUAAAUCAACUUUUACUAGUUGGAGUUGACUCUUCCUGGAUCGAUUCAGUAAAUGUUGAUUAUACGAGAAUCUCAAGUGCAUUUUUGAUGAGUGUGCGUUUCUUUGUUUUGACCGUUUCAACUACUUAUUAGUAUAGUCUGUAACGUCGCCCCCGUUAGGUAAAUUAUUCUGAUUCGAUUUUUUGCACAAACUUACUCAAAGAAAUAUGUACAUCCGUAUAACAAUCCUUAUAACAAAUACACAGGGUGUCACGCGGUACCGCGGUCGAAAAAUUGUUUAAUCAAUUUUUGUUAACCAAAUUCACAAAAAUAAUUUUUAUCUACUCUAUCUCAUAUUAUGUAAAGCAGCGGUUCUCAAUCUGUGGUACAUGUACCACUGGUGGUACAUAUCAUUAUUUGCGGUGGUACACAAAACACACAAAAACAUAAAAUAGUAGUACAUAGUAAGUCUUGAUUAUACAAUCUAAAAAUAUAGAAAUAUAAUAAAAGAAACUUUAGAUGGUACAUGACUCAAAAAGAUUGAGAACCGCUGAUGUAAAAGUUUUAAUGUGUGAAAAUUGUAAAUAUAGAUAGCAGUGCAUGAAGGGUUUAAAGUGUGUCUGAAGUAACAAUGUAUUUUAAAUGUGUUUUACUUUUUCGCACUGUUUUUUAGCACACUUUCAUAUAAUUAAACAUCCUUAACUUUCGCCUUCGGGAGGAAAUCAGACACGCCCUUGCAACGGCAACUGAAAUGCUCACAAAACAGCGACCACGGAAGCAAAUAUGGAUGACAGAGGAAAUAUUGGAUUUAAUGGAUGAAAGAAGAAAAUGAAUAUUACCACCCUUGGAUUAUAAGCUUUCAUUUGACACCUCAUUUGUCAUAUCGGAAAAGAAAUGAAAGGCAGAAUUUACAAAUCAGUCAUCAGACCAAUAAUGACAUACGCGGCAGAAACACAACCCGACACAGAGAGGACAAAAAGAUUGCUCGAAACAGUCGAGAUGAAAACCCUUCGAAAAAUCGAUAGUAAGACUCUAUGGGACAGAGCUAGAAGUACAGAUAUACGACGGAGAUGCAAGGUGGAUAACAUUAAUAACUGGGUAAUAAACAGAAGAAUAGAAUAGAAUGACCACAUAAGUCGAAUGACAACAAAUAGGGUAGUCAGGACAGCGAGAGACGGUUCCCCAAUAGGAAGACGUUCAGUGGGAAGACCACGAAAACGAUGGAACGACAACUUACUAGAGGCACAUUGAAAAAACAGACAAAGUAAUGUCUAUACAAAAAGAAGAAGAUUUGUCAAUCUACCUGUUAUAAUGACGAAGGAGUUAUAUUCGCGGACGGACGGACAGACAGCCUAGGUUAAAUUUGUCACCUUUAGUACCAUCCUUGGAUAUUAAUCUUUCAUUUGACACCUCAUUUUUUGUCAUUCUACCUGUUAUAAUUAACGAGGAGGUAUACUCGCUGUCGGACAGAUGGUACCAGGCAGUACCGUGGUCGAAAAAUUGUUUAAUAGUUAAAAAUUCUCGUUGGAACUUUACCGCGCUGAGCAGAUGGGACGUGAAUUGUAAAUUGUAGAAUUCCCUCAUCUUCCUUAGUCUCAGCAUCCGUAUGGCUUGCAAAUUGUAGAAGCCUCGGAGGUGUAACCAGAGAAGGUUCCCAUUGUUUUCAUUCUGGUGGGGUGUAGAAUAGCAUUAUGUUGUUUUAUAUGCCAUUAGAGUGAAAACUUAGUAUUUUUGUUUAAUAGUUAUUUAUGUACGAAGUCAGUAAAGUGGCUCUUUAUCGAACGAGUCUGAUAUUACGAGCAGGGCAAGCGAAGCGAGCAACAGACGCGUUCGAUAAAGAGUAUUGAGGUGGUGCGUACAAAAUUGUAUCGUCAAUCAUAAAAAACAUUAACACUUACAAUUUUGAGGAAAUUUUUUUAAUUUUAGACGAAAUAAAAAAUUCGUAUGACAGUAAUGACAGAUGACUUUUGCAUGAUGGCCGGUUUUGAUGUUUAAUCGAUAGUUAUCAAUAUUGUAUACCUACCUAAUUAGUAAAUCUGUAAAGUUUUGAUUUAUUUUGUAUGAAUAUAAUUGCGAAACACUACAUAAUUUUACUUUUUGACAUAAAUUUUAUUAAUAAUAAGACAAAUUUUGUACAAUAUUUUUAAUAAUUAAAGUAAAUAAAUUUUAAUUUCACUCAAAUAAAUAAUCGAUUGCUGCCAUUGACCACUUACAUUCAAUCUCGGUUAAUUUGAUUAAUAAUCGCGGCAGGUAAAGUAACAUUCUUCUGUCAAUACAACAAAGUGUUACUUUACUGCCGAAAAUUAGGGCAAAUGAGUACAAUAAUGAAUGAUUUUAGUGACGUUUGGCGAUAAACAAUGAUUUUACACAAAUUCGCAAAAAUAAUUUUUGAAGUUAUACUUCUUUACCGGCGAUAGAGGGUAAAUUUUUAUAUGGGAAAACCUAGCGACCGGGCUCAUGCGCAUUAUAACUUUGUUCUGAUUGGAUGUUCAAAUGACAUGUCAAAAAUUAUUCAAUAUGGUGGCUGUGGCACAGCUGUAGUUAGAUUAUUUAUAUGGUUGUUGCGUUUUAAAAUUUGUGUGAAAAGAAACAACAAACAAAAGUUAGUUAAUAGUUAUACUGCCUUUUUAAAUAGUUUUCAUAUACCUAUAUUUUUGGACUUUUGGACUAUUUUGGACAAGGAAAACUCAUUCUAAUUUGGUAAGUACCUAGUUUUUAUUAUAAUCAUAUUGUAAUUAUACAUUUGGAUUAGGUUGAAAUACAUACAUUUAUUUUCUCAAGAAUGCGGAUUUUAGAGAGAAAUCCCAAAUUAGGUUCGAUUUUUAUUUUUAAAUUAUGAUUUUUUGGCGUAGAUUUAUUUAUGUAGUAGGUAUGUAAUGCUUUGAUUUACAUACUUAAUUUGAUUACCAACAAAAGUUCUACCAAUCUUCAUCUAAUAUAUUGUUUUCUUACUGUUUUGUUAUAUUUUUAUAUUUUCUUCCACAAAAUUUAAACUACAUAAUUUUCAAAACAAUUGUCAAACAGUAAAACGUUCAGUUACCGUAUUUUUCCACAUGAUAAAUAAUGUGCGAUUGGACGAGUGAGUCUACGCUUCGAUUACGAGUCAAAGCGGCACGAAAUUCAAGGGUUCAAUUCCCGAUGCAAGUUUUAUUUUUUUAUGCAUAUUAUGAUUGUAAGUAUAUUUGUUAUAUAAUUUUUUUUUCAGCAAAUGCGUAUUUAAAAUUUUUGCCAACAAUUAUUAUCGUCCAGAAAUCAUUUUUUCUUUGUGGCAUUUUUCAAUGUGUUUGUGUGCGUUUUAUUCUUUAAUUUUUUUAAAUUUUUGGUAUAGUCUUAAAAAUCACAUAAUAUGUAGUAGAAGUAUAACUUCUUACGUGCGUACAAAGUACACACACAUUCUUUUUUUCACUUCGUACAAAUUUUCUUUAGAUCCUUUGGGCCUUUUUUCUCUAAAAUUGACUGCUGUCGAGUUAUUAGCGACUUAAAAUUUGAAAAACGCCAAAAUAACCAUUUUCAAGGUUUAAUAACUCGGUUAAAGAUAAUUAUUGUGAAAGUCGAGCGAGCGGCCGUGGAGUAACGGCAUAAUCGCUGGCCUCAUACGCCAGUGCACGUGGGUUCGAGCCCUGCCAAAGACAAACCAUUUUCAUUUCCAAUAAUGACACGAGCCGUCUCACCGUGUCUCGGAGAGCACGUUAAGCCGUCGGUCCCCCUGGGCUAGUGUACAUCAACACUAGUUACUUGAAACAGGGUUAAAGGUGUAAUUGGCGCCGGAACUGUCCGAAAGGCAAAAAUGCCAUACGAUAUUAUAUAUUAUGAAAGUCAGAAACUAAAAAAAUCAACGAUUAAAGCUACCUCUAUAAGAUCCUGAAGAAAUUUUUGUCAUUAUUUCAUUAAUAAGAUAUUAUUUUUAAUUAUCAACAAUGAGCGCUAAGCGUGUAUUGAGGCGGCCGUCAAUGUGAGUGCGAGUGAGAUUCACCAUUGGACGGCCGGAAUGGUGCAUCUCUUUAGCACUCACCAUUGACGGCCGCCUAAUACGCACUUAGCGCUCAUUGUUAAUAAUUAAAGAUAAAGCUUAGUAAUCAAAUAGUGACAAAAAUUUCUGCUGGAUCUUGUAGAGGGGGCUAUAAACUUUGAUUUGGUUACUUUCUGACUUUCAUAACAAUGGAUUUUAACCGAGUUAUUAAGCCUUGAAAAUGGCUAUUUUCGCAUUUUUCAAAUUUUAAAUCGCGUAUAAGUCGACAACAAUCAAUUUUGGAGAAAAAUCACAAAAUACCUUUUUUUGCUCAGAAUAACCCAAAUGAUCUAAAAAAAAAAUUGUUCGAAGUGAAAAAAUUAUUUUUGUGAAUUUGUCUAAAAAAAAAUUGUUUAAACAAUUUAUCGAUCAAGGUACUGCCUGGCACCCAGUAGAUUUGUUACAAAGAGUACCUGGCACCCAGGUACUAUUCAGUAACAUUUAAUUUCUAGAAUCGGCUGUUUGUGUGAAUCAGAAUCAACUUUUACUAAAUGGCAUUGGGAAGAGUAUACUUUAACUAGUUGGAGUCUACUUUUACUAGUAAAUGUUGAAUAUAAAUCUUCAUUUUAUAUUUAUAAUUUAUAAUCAACUUUUACUGAAACCAGCCGUUAGAGUUGACUCGAACUAGUAAAAGUCAACUCCAACUGGAUAAUCAACUUGAACUGUAACAUAUAUAAUAGGUUUAAGAAGCAUUAUAGAUCUAGAUCAACAAUAUCAUUAAAGAAAAAACUAGCUUAUGGGUAUUUCUUUUCAAACUCUGAAAAUAUAGCUCGUGACAGUUGGAAAGUUAUAAACUAUCACAGAAAUAAAGUUCAAAAUAAAAAAGUUGUUCCUAGUACGAUCUCAUCAAACGAUUUCAAUAAUUACUUUAUAUCAGUAGCUAAAAAUAUAAGAGGUUCUUUUAGUUCUACAAAUGAAAAUGUAGCUAUAGAUAUUUUGAAAGAUGUACAAUCUCCUUGCCACUCUUUAUUUUUACUACCUGUUACUGAUAUUGAAAUCAGAAAUGUUUUGCGUGGCUUGAAAAAUUCACAUUGUACAGAUUUUUAUUUCUUAAACAAAAAAAUAAUUGUUGAAACUAUUGAUAUUGUUAUUGACAAAUUAGUUUUACUUUAUAAUAAUUGCCUUAUUGAGGGGAUUUUCCCAGAUGUACUAAAAGUAACAAAAGUGUUACCACUAUUCAAAAAUGGGUCCUUAGAUGAAAUUGGAAAUAAUCGUCCCAUCUCUACCAUUCCCAUUUUCGGUAAAAUUUUUGAAAGUAUUCUUAAUAUGCGUUUGAUAGAAUAUCUAGAUAAACACAAAAUACUUCACUGUAAUCAAUAUGACUUUAGAAAAAAGUGCAGCACUACACAAGCUAUACAAAAAAUUGUGAGAGAUAUAGUAGACGGCUUGGAGGAAGGUCAUUUAGUGUCUUUGACAUUGUGUGAUUUAUCCAAAGCUUUCGACUGUGCCUCGCAUAAAUUACUGUUGGAAAAAAUGCAUAAAUAUGGUAUAAGGGGAACCACUCUCAAUAUAUUUAAAUCUUAUUUAACAAAUAGAAAACAGGCAAUUUUUCUUAAUAAUACCUAUUCUGAUUUGAACACGGUCGAAUACGGGGUUCCUCAAGGUUCAAUACUAGGACCCACUUUGUUUCUUAUUUAUCUGAACGAUCUAUUUCACUACACUUUUCCCAUAAAAUGUGUGUGCUUUGCAGAUGAUACCACUCUCAUAAAUACUGACAUUAAUCAGCAUAAUUUGAAAAUUAAAAUAGAUAGUGAUACUCAGAAAGCAAAAAACUGGUUUUUGCAUAAUGGUCUGAAGCUCAAUGAAGACAAAAAUCAGAAUUUGAUGUUUAGUUCUGAUCGGAAGUAUGUCUUAGGAAAUAGUGUUAAACUCUUAGGAAUUUUCCUCGAUGAUAAUUUGGACUGGAGUGCUCAUACAGACCACUUAAGUUCUAAACUUGCUACAACUAUAUUUUUGAUACGCAACUUAGUUUUUAUGAUCCCUAAAAGUACCCUUAGAAUGAUCUGCUUUGCACUGUUCCAUAGCCAUUUAAAGUACGGAAUAACUGUUUGGGGUGGCUCUUGUUACGCAGACAGAAUUUUUAAAUUACAAAAGAAAGUAGUGAGGAUACUUGCAGGAGCAGAGUAUAGGGAACACUGUAAACCUUUAUUUCAGGAGUUAGGUAUUAUGUCAUUACCUUCACUCUAUAUAUAUGAGACGCUGAUUGAAAUUCAUUCCAACAAAAGUAAGUUUAACAUAAACUCCAACUUCCAUGAUUACCAUACAAGAUCGAGAGAUGCUAUUAGAGCACAACGUUUUAGGUUGACAAAAAGUAUAAAAAACUCAACUGAUGUUAAUUUGUACAAUAUUUUGCCAGAUGAUUUAAAAAGUCUUCAUUUACAGUCGUUUAAAACUAAAAUAAAAUCACACUUUUUAAAACAUUGUUUUCACACAAAGACAGAGUACUUAGGUAUAUACCGCUUUUAUACAAUAGUAAUACUAGUUUGGUCAGGUUUUUUUGCCGAUUAUGACGAUAUUUCAUGUUUUUAUGUUUAUUUCGUGUCUUUACGUUUUUAUAUACAGGGUGAGUCAUGAGGAACUGUACAUACUCCUACCUCGUAUAGAGGCUCCUAUGGGGAAUAACAAAUGACCAUUAAAAGUGUCUGCUCCCAUUGUUUAAUAAUAUACAGGGCGAGUUUCGCAUUUUGACAGAAAUUUGUAUUCGUCAUAAUUUUUGAACUGUCAGAUCGAUGUGUCUCUUAUUUUGGCAAAUCGUUACACUAUUACCACCUAAUCAACUGAUUUAUUCAAACUAGAAAAAAAUCAGGUCCGGCUUUAAAAAAUUAGUUCGUUUGGGUCUUACAAAAAACUUCACCCUGUAUACGCUUUUUGAAAACUCUAAUAUGAAUUUUACAAAUUAGACAAAUAGGCAAUUAAAAUGGCAUAUUUAUUUUUCCCCACACGAUUACUUAAUUUUUUAUAAAAAAAUCAAAUUUGACUAUGAAUUAAAAGUUGGUAAAGUGAACCAUAGAUUUAAAAAAAUUAACUUUUAUUACAAAAAUUAAUUUUUUUUUAAACAAAUAUUUAAUUUAUGUUACCACCCAAUCAACUGAUUUAUUCAAACUAGAAAAAAAUCAGGUCCGGCUUUAAAAAAUUAGUUCGUUUGGGUCUUAGAAAAAAUUUCACCCUGUAUAAGCUUUUUGAAAACUCUAAUAUGAAUUUUACAAAUUAGACAAAUAGGCAAUUAAAAUGGCAUAUUUAUUUUUUCCCCACACGAUUACUUAAUUUUUUAUAAAAAAAUCAAAUUUGACUAUGAAUUAAAAGUUUGGUAAAGUGAACCAUAGAUUUAAAAAAAUUAACUUUUAUUACAAAAAUUAUUUUUUUUUAAACAAAUAUUUAAUUUAUGUUACCACCCAAUCAACUGAUUUAUUCAAACUAGAAAAAGAUCAGGUCCGGCUUUAAAAAAUUAGUUCGUUUGGGUCUUAGAAAAAAUUUCACCCUGUAUACGCUUUUUGAAAACGCUAAUAUGAAUUUUACAAAUUAGACAAAUAGGCAAUUAAAAUGGCAUAUUUAUUUUUUCCCCACACGAUUACUUAAUUUUUUAUUAGAAAAAUCAAAUUUGUCAAAAUCGCAAUUUUACCAUAAAAAUAAAAAAAAUUAAACGUUUUUCUUAAAAUUAAAAGUUACACCAUUUUUUUUUUCUAUGACACGUCUAGAUCUAAAACUCCCCAUAACACUUCUCUUUGGACUCUAUAGUUUAACAUAGACGUGAUCAAAUAGAUAAAUUUUAAAUUUUUUCACUUAUUUUUGAGAUUUAACUUUGCAAUUCACGAAUCUGCACCUUUUAUUUUUAAAAAUUCAUAACUUUUACGAGAAGCAGACUGAAAGUCUACAACAAUUUUCAUAGUCUUCACAAUGGUAAGAGAUAUGUGCUGUAAAAAUUUCAGAAAAAAACAUUAAAAUGGAACAGAGUUGUAGCGAGUUUAUUAAACCGUGAUUUCAUUUUUUUUUUUUUCAUUUUUAGGUUAAAAUUCCGAUUUUGACAAAUUUGAUUUUUUAAUAAAAAAUUAAGUAAUCGUGUGGGGAAAAAAUAAAUAUGCCAUUUUAAUUACCUAUUUGUCUAAUUUGUAAAAUUCAUAUUAGAGUUUUCAAAAAGCGUAUACAGGGUGAAAUUUUUUCUAAGACCAAAACGAACUAAUUUUUUAAAUCCGGGCUUGAUUUUUUUUCUAGUUUGAAUAAAUCAGUUUUGGGUGGUAAUAUAAAUUAAAUAUUUGUUCAAAAAAAAAAUAAUUUUUUUAAUAAAAGUUAAUUUUUUUAAAUAUAUGGUUCACUUUAUUUACCAAACUUUUAAUUAUUCAUAGUCAAAUUUGAUUUUUUUAUAAAAAACUAAGUAAUCGUGUGGGGAAAAAAUAAAUAAGCCAUUUUAAUUGCCUAUUUGUCUGAUUUGUAAAAUUCAUAAUAGAGUUUUCAAAAAGCGUAUACAGGGUGAAAUUUUUUCUAAUACCCAAACGAUCUAAUUUUUUAAAGACGGACCUGAUUUUUUUCUAGUUUAAAUAAAUCAGUUGAUUGGGAGGUAACAUAAAUUAAAUAUUUGUUUAAAAAAAAUUAUUUUUGUAAUAAAAGUUAGUUUUUUAAAUCUAUGGUUCACUUUACCAAACUUUUAAUUCAUAGUCAAAUUUGAUUUUUUUAUAAAAAAUUAAGUAAUCGUGUGGGGAAAAAAUAAAUAUGCCAUUUUAAUUGCCUAUUUGUCUAAUUUGUAAAAUUCAUAUUUGAGUUUUCAAAAAGCGUAUACAGGGUGAAAUUUUUUCUAAGGCCCAAACGAACUAAUUGUUUAAAGCCGGACCUGAUUUUUUUCUAGUUUGAAUAAAUCAGUUGAUUGGGUGGUAACAUAAAUUAAAUAUUUGUUUAAAAAAAAUUAAUUUUUGUAAUAAAAGUUAAUUUUUUUAAAUCUAUGGUUCACUUUACCAAACUUUUAAUUCAUAGUCAAAUUUGAUUUUUUUAUAAAAAAUUAAGUAAUCGUGUGGGGAAAAAAUAAAUAUGCCAUUUUAAUUGCCUAUUUGUUCAAUUUGUAAAAUUCAUAUUAGAGUUUUCAAAAAGCGUAUACAGGGUGAAAUUUUUUCUAAGACCCAAACGAACUAAUUUUUUAAAGCCGCACCUGAUUUUUUUCUAGUUUGAAUAAAUCAGUUUAUUAGGUGGUAAUAGUGUAACGAUUGGCCAAAAUAAGAGACACAUCGAUCUGACCGUUCAAAAAUUAUGACGAAUACAAAUUUCUGUCAAAAUGCGAAACUCGCCCUGUAUAUUAUUAAACAAUGGGAGCAGACACUUUUUAAUGGUCAUUUGUUAUUCCCCAUAGGAGCCUCUAUACGAGGUAGGAGUAUGUAGAGUUCCUCAUGACUCACCCUGUAGUGUGUUAAAUUGUUUAAAUUUGUUAGUACCUGUUUGUAUAUCUAUUCUUUAUAAUAAUUAACUUUUAAAUUAAUUUUGUCAAAAUUUUGUAAUGUAGGUAUUUUUUUGACUUGUCAAAAACAACAAAAUUUUGUAUAUUUGAUUAAAUAAAUUCUAUUCUAUCUUCAUUUUUAAGAA